This 331-nucleotide unclassified non-coding RNA is filed under the name Dulcicalothrix sp. SEV5-4-C5. RNAcentral's name for it is "Calothrix sp. SEV5-4-C5 16S-23S ribosomal RNA intergenic spacer". The record is from RNAcentral. Lineage: Bacteria; Bacillati; Cyanobacteriota; Cyanophyceae; Nostocales; Calotrichaceae.
UUUUAGGGAGACCUACCCAACUUGUUGAUUGUACUUUAGUACUGAAAAACCAACAAGAAGGUCAUCACCUAGGUCGUGCGAGAAUUGACUUUGGCUUCAAACUAUUAUCCGAUUCGGAUUCAUAAAAAAUAAAAACAAGCAUAUAUACAGUCAGCAACUAAAGUUAUUGAUAUAACUAAGCCUGCUGGAUGUAUGUCCAGUAAGAACCUUGAAAACUGCAUAGUGACGCAAAUUGUAGGCAGUAACUGCAUUGUUCGUAUUAAUUACUUGAGUAAUUAAUAUGUAAAUACAGGAAUUGAAUUACAGAUAAUCCUUUGAAUUGUAUUGAAUU